CUUGGUCAUUUUAACCUCAUUCGUAUGGGUAUGGCCUGUUCAAAUGAGCCAUAAUAAUAUUAGCAUAGAAAAUUGCAUUUUGUUCAUGUAAUGAAGCACAAACUAUUAGACCACUUGGCCAGACCCCAGAUUUGUUGAAAUGAGAGACUGGGCAUUGUAAUUUUAAUGAAAGCAUUGUGAGAAUUAUCGGUGUUCUAUCAAUAGGCAUAGCAUCAUUAAGAAAAAGCUAACUGCAACUACUGUAGGCCAGGAUAUACAAAGGCACUGUUAUAAAUGUGUCUAAUUUGACCCAUAUUCAUCAUUCAUUAAUAAUAUCAAUUUUACUUAGGAUUAUGUUGAUGAGCAAUCUUUUGCUUUUUCAAAUUUAGAGGGCUAUAUAUAACAAACCAGUCAUUGGUGACGCUAGAUGAUCUUCAUUCAAGAUUCAUUAUCGUAAAGGAAUCAUCGGCAAGAAAUGGUCUUUUCAUUGGCUGAUAAAAAUGAACCUUGGGUAGAUGUUUGCCAGGUUGUAUAUUUCUUGUAGCCUUUGACUUGCACAAGGAAAAGAAAAUAUAUGCUGAAACUACAUGCUAGACGAUGAACUCAUUGUUGAAGAACAUAUUAGUUAUGUUUAUAUAGAAAAAGAACACUGUAAAGUCACCUUGUACUGGACAGAGUAAUGUAAUAAGUGCAGAGCUCGGCACAACUAAUCUACAUUACCAUUUGCAGUUUAACCCAUUGAGUCGCAUUGCACUCUGACGCACCCUACUUUAGUGUUUUACUCCGUCUAAUGCCAGACGAUUUUACUCGUCAAGGGGAGAGCGCUGGCGCUUAAUGGGUUAAAUGGUAAUAAAUGUGAUAUUUUACAUUCAUCCAGCUUUACAGUCUUACAUUUUGAGGAGCAUUGCAGUACAAAACUUAAAUGUACCCUACUAACCUACUGCCCUUUCCUUAUAUUACUCUAUCCAAUAGCAUAUAAGGUUAUAUUUCAUUAAGGGGUGAGUCUUAUUUAAUAGUUUG
Non-coding RNA from Paramuricea clavata, 999 nucleotides. NCBI's taxonomy places the organism in Eukaryota, Metazoa, Cnidaria, Anthozoa, Malacalcyonacea, Plexauridae. The record is from the annotation of a GenBank genome assembly.